Molecule: regulatory RNA element, 70 nt
Rfam family: c-di-GMP-I riboswitch aptamer
About the family: GEMM was predicted in a large-scale screen for bacterial structured RNA regulatory elements.
Source: Rfam
CGAGAAUCAAGCCAACCCGCCUCAGGCGGGACGGAAAGCCACGGGUCUUUCAGACAGCCGGGUUGCCUCG